RNAcentral lists this ribosomal RNA (1430 nucleotides) under uncultured organism. RNAcentral's name for it is "16S ribosomal RNA". It matches the Rfam family "Bacterial small subunit ribosomal RNA". The record is from RNAcentral.
CUUAACACAUGCAAGUCGAGGGGCAGCACAGGUAGCAAUACCGGGUGGCGACCGGCGCACGGGUGAGUAACGCGUAUGCAACUUGCCUAUCAGAGGGGGAUAACCCGGCGAAAGUCGGACUAAUACCGCAUGAAGCAGGGGCCCCGCAUGGGGAUAUUUGCUAAAGAUUCAUCGCUGAUAGAUAGGCAUGCGUUCCAUUAGGCAGUUGGCGGGGUAACGGCCCACCAAACCGACGAUGGAUAGGGGUUCUGAGAGGAAGGUCCCCCACAUUGGUACUGAGACACGGACCAAACUCCUACGGGAGGCAGCAGUGAGGAAUAUUGGUCAAUGGGCGCGAGCCUGAACCAGCCAAGUCGCGUGAGGGAUGAAGGUUCUAUGGAUCGUAAACCUCUUUUAUAAGGGAAUAAAGUGCGGGACGUGUCCCGUUUUGUAUGUACCUUAUGAAUAAGGAUCGGCUAACUCCGUGCCAGCAGCCGCGGUAAUACGGAGGAUCCGAGCGUUAUCCGGAUUUAUUGGGUUUAAAGGGUGCGUAGGCGGCCUUUUAAGUCAGCGGUGAAAGUCUGUGGCUCAACCAUAGAAUUGCCGUUGAAACUGGGGGGCUUGAGUAUGUUUGAGGCAGGCGGAAUGCGUGGUGUAGCGGUGAAAUGCAUAGAUAUCACGCAGAACCCCGAUUGCGAAGGCAGCCUGCCAAGCCAUUACUGACGCUGAUGCACGAAAGCGUGGGGAUCAAACAGGAUUAGAUACCCUGGUAGUCCACGCAGUAAACGAUGAUCACUAGCUGUUUGCGAUACACUGUAAGCGGCACAGCGAAAGCGUUAAGUGAUCCACCUGGGGAGUACGCCGGCAACGGUGAAACUCAAAGGAAUUGACGGGGGCCCGCACAAGCGGAGGAACAUGUGGUUUAAUUCGAUGAUACGCGAGGAACCUUACCCGGGUUUGAACGCAUUCGGACCGAGGUGGAAACACCUUUUCUAGCAAUAGCCGUUUGCGAGGUGCUGCAUGGUUGUCGUCAGCUCGUGCCGUGAGGUGUCGGCUUAAGUGCCAUAACGAGCGCAACCCUUGCCACUAGUUACUAACAGGUAAAGCUGAGGACUCUGGUGGGACUGCCAGCGUAGGCUGCGAGGAAGGCGGGGAUGACGUCAAAUCAGCACGGCCCUUACAUCCGGGGCGACACACGUGUUACAAUGGCGUGGACAAAGGGAAGCCACCUGGCGACAGGGAGCGAAUCCCCAAACCACGUCUCAGUUCGGAUCGGAGUCUGCAACCCGACUCCGUGAAGCUGGAUUCGCUAGUAAUCGCGCAUCAGCCAUGGCGCGGUGAAUACGUUCCCGGGCCUUGUACACACCGCCCGUCAAGCCAUGGGAGCCGGGGGUACCUGAAGUCCGUAACCGCGAGGAUCGGCCUAGGGUAAAACUGGUGACUGGGGCUAA